UACAGAGGAUGCAAGCGUUAUCCGGAAUGAUUGGGCGUAAAGCGUGCGCAGGCGGUUUGUUAAGUCUGCUGUGAAAUCCCCGAGCUCAACUUGGGAAUUGCAGUGGAUACUGGCAGGCUGGAGUAUGGUAGAGGAAGGUGGAAUUCCCGGUGUAGCAGUGAUAUGCGUAGAGAUCGGGAGGAACACCAGUGGCGAAGGCGGCCUUCUGGACCAAUACUGACGCUCAUGCACGAAAGCGUGGGGAGCAAACAGG
Molecule: ribosomal RNA, 253 nt
Filed under: uncultured bacterium
Lineage: Bacteria
Description: partial 16S ribosomal RNA
Rfam family: Bacterial small subunit ribosomal RNA
Source: RNAcentral